AAUGAACGCUGGCGGCGUGCCUAACACAUGCAAGUCGUACGAGAAAUCCCGAGCUUGCUUGGGAGAGUAAAGUGGCGCACGGGUGAGUAACGCGUGGGUAACCUGCCCUUGAAUCGGGGAUAACUCCGCGAAAGCGGUGCUAAUACCGGAUAAGACCACUACCGCUACGGCGGCAGAGGUAAAAGCUGACCUCUCCAUGGAAGUUAGCGUUUGAGGACGGGCCCGCGUCCUAUCAGCUUGUUGGUAGGGUAACGGCCUACCAAGGCAACGACGGGGUAGCUGGUCUGAGAGGAUGAUCAGCCACACUGGAACUGGAACACGGUCCAGACUCCUACGGGAGGCAGCAGUGAGGAAUUUUGCGCAAUGGGGGAAACCCUGACGCAGCAACGCCGCGUGGGUGAAGAAGGCCUUCGGGUCGUAAAGCCCUGUCAGGUGGGAAGAACUGUUUCGAUACUAAUAAUGUCGAAGCCUGACGGUACCACCAGAGGAAGCACCGGCCACUCCGUG
This 507-nucleotide ribosomal RNA is filed under the name uncultured bacterium. RNAcentral describes it as "bacterial SSU rRNA". It matches the Rfam family "Bacterial small subunit ribosomal RNA", at positions 29 to 507 of the family's 1533-position model. The record is from RNAcentral.